UACGUAGGGGGCAAGCGUUGUCCGGAAUCAUUGGGCGUAAAGCGCGCGUAGGUGGCCCCAUAAGUCCGCUGUGAAAGUCAAAGGCUCAACCUUUGAAAGCCGGUGGAUACUGUCGGGCUCGAGUCCGGAAGAGGCGAGUGGAAUUCCUGGUGUAGCGGUGAAAUGCGCAGAUAUCAGGAGGAACACCAAUGGCGAAGGCAGCUCGCUGGGACGUGACUGACGCUGAGACGCGAAAGCGUGGGGAGCAAACAGG
This 253-nucleotide ribosomal RNA is filed under the name uncultured bacterium. RNAcentral's name for it is "partial 16S ribosomal RNA". It matches the Rfam family "Bacterial small subunit ribosomal RNA", at positions 524 to 776 of the family's 1533-position model. The record is from RNAcentral.